AUGGGGAGGCCGGGGUACCUGACGCUGCCCAUCUUGGCGGUGCUCGCCGCGAUCGGCUACGUCUACUACACCACGGUCUUCGUCGCCGUCGCCGGCUGGCUCGGCCUCGCCACGGCCGCCGGGGUCGCCAACGCCGCCGCCUUCACGGCCCUCGCCGCCGCCUGCCUCGCCACCUACGCCGCCGCCGUCUCCCGGGACCCCGGCCGGGUGCCGCCCGCCUUCCUGCCCGACGUCGAGGGCGCCGAGACCCCCGUCCACGAGGUCAAGCGCAAGGGUGGUGAUUUGAGAUAUUGCCAGAAAUGUGGCCACUAUAAGCCCCCACGCGCACACCAUUGCCGUGUGUGCAAGAGAUGUGUUCUGAAAAUGGACCAUCACUGUAUUUGGAUUAAUAACUGUGUUGGGCACGAAAACUACAAGAUAUUCUUGGUCUUUGUAUUGUAUGCUGUAAUUGCAAGCCUCUAUUCAAUGAUUCUAAUUGUAGGGAGCGUCAUUCACAGUGCUCCGAAAGAUGAACAGUUAAGCAGUGAUUCUUCUAGAACAUUGAUUAUUAUUUGUGGGAUCAUUCUUUGUCCAUUAACUCUGGCGCUGUCGGUGCUCUUGGGCUGGCAUAUCCACCUCAUAUUACAGAAUAAAACUACAAUUGAGUACCAUGAAGGAGUUAGAGCAAUGUGGUUGGCAGAAAAGGGUGGAGACCUUUAUCAUCAUCCAUAUGACCUUGGUGUCUAUGAGAAUCUUAUUUCGGUGCUUGGGCGUAGCAUAUUCUGCUGGCUCUGCCCAGUAUCAGUCAAUACAGGCAGUGGCCUACGGUUCCGUGCAUCCUAUGAUAUUUUACCAUCUACACCGCCAUGUGAUUUACAAAAGAUAGCAUUACAUUCACAUUGA
Molecule: ribosomal RNA, 882 nt
Filed under: Triticum aestivum (bread wheat)
Lineage: Eukaryota; Viridiplantae; Streptophyta; Magnoliopsida; Poales; Poaceae
Description: partial small subunit ribosomal RNA
Source: RNAcentral